GAACGAGAGCGACCGGUGCUUGCACUGGUCAAUCUAGUGGCGAACGGGUGAGUAACACGUGGGUAACCUGCCCAUCAGAGGGGGAUAACAUUCGGAAACGGAUGCUAAAACCGCAUAGGUCUUCGAACCGCAUGGUUUGAAGAGGAAAAGAGGCGCAAGCUUCUGCUGAUGGAUGGACCCGCGGUGCAUUAGCUAGUUGGUGAGGUAACGGCUCACCAAGGCCGUGAUGCAUAGCCGACCUGAGAGGGUGAUCGGCCACAUUGGGACUGAGACACGGCCCAAACUCCUACGGGAGGCAGCAGUAGGGAAUCUUCCGCAAUGGACGCAAGUCUGACGGAGCAACGCCGCGUGAGUGAAGAAGGUUUUCGGAUCGUAAAACUCUGUUGUUAGAGAAGAACAAGUGCUAGAGUAACUGUUAGCGCCUUGACGGUAUCUAACCAGAAAGCCACGGCUAACUACGUGCCAGCAGCCGCGGUAAUACGUAGGUGGCAAGCGUUGUCCGGAUUUAUUGGGCGUAAAGCGAGCGCAGGCGGUUCCUUAAGUCUGAUGUGAAAGCCCCCGGCUCAACCGGGGAGGGUCAUUGGAAACUGGGGAACUUGAGUGCAGAAGAGGAGAGUGGAAUUCCAUGUGUAGCGGUGAAAUGCGUAGAUAUAUGGAGGAACACCAGUGGCGAAGGCGACUCUCUGGUCUGUAACUGACGCUGAGGCUCGAAAGCGUGGGUAGCAAACAGG
RNAcentral lists this ribosomal RNA (731 nucleotides) under uncultured Bacilli bacterium. RNAcentral describes it as "bacterial SSU rRNA". It matches the Rfam family "Bacterial small subunit ribosomal RNA", at positions 64 to 776 of the family's 1533-position model. Lineage: Bacteria; Bacillati; Bacillota; Bacilli. The record is from RNAcentral.